This 742-nucleotide ribosomal RNA is filed under the name Cellulomonas marina. Its description in RNAcentral is "bacterial SSU rRNA". It matches the Rfam family "Bacterial small subunit ribosomal RNA", at positions 48 to 804 of the family's 1533-position model. The record is from RNAcentral. Lineage: Bacteria; Bacillati; Actinomycetota; Actinomycetes; Micrococcales; Cellulomonadaceae.
UUAACACAUGCAAGUCGAACGGUGAUCUCCAGCUUGCUGGGGUGAUCAGUGGCGAACGGGUGAGUAACACGUGAGUAACCUGCCCCUGACUCUGGGAUAACUGCUGGAAACGGUGGCUAAUACCGGAUAUGACGUGUGCCUGCAUGGGUGUGCGUGGAAAGUUUUUCGGUCAGGGAUGGGCUCGCGGCCUAUCAGCUUGUUGGUGGGGUGAUGGCCUACCAAGGCGACGACGGGUAGCCGGCCUGAGAGGGCGACCGGCCACACUGGGACUGAGACACGGCCCAGACUCCUACGGGAGGCAGCAGUGGGGAAUAUUGCACAAUGGGCGAAAGCCUGAUGCAGCGACGCCGCGUGAGGGAUGACGGCCUUCGGGUUGUAAACCUCUUUCAGCAGGGAAGAAGCGAGAGUGACGGUACCUGCAGAAGAAGCGCCGGCUAACUACGUGCCAGCAGCCGCGGUAAUACGUAGGGCGCAAGCGUUGUCCGGAAUUAUUGGGCGUAAAGAGCUCGUAGGCGGUGUGUCGCGUCUGCUGUGAAAUCCUCAGGCUCAACCUGGGGCUUGCAGUGGGUACGGGCACACUAGAGUGCGGUAGGGGUGACUGGAAUUCCUGGUGUAGCGGUGGAAUGCGCAGAUAUCAGGAGGAACACCGAUGGCGAAGGCAGGUCACUGGGCCGCAACUGACGCUGAGGAGCGAAAGCAUGGGGAGCGAACAGGAUUAGAUACCCUGGUAGUCCAUGCCGUA